CCUACGGGUGGCUGCAGUGAGGAAUAUUGGUCAAUGGACGAGAGUCUGAACCAGCCAAGUAGCGUGAAGGAUGACUGCCCUAUGGGUUGUAAACUUCUUUUAUAUGGGAAUAAAAUGUUCCACGUGUGGGAUUUUGUAUGUACCCUAUGAAUAAGGAUCGGCUAACUCCGUGCCAGCAGCCGCGGUAAUACGGAGGAUCCGAGCGUGAUCCGGCUUUAUUGGGUUUAAAGGGAGCGUAGGUGGAUUGUUAAGUCAGGUGUGAAAGUUUGCGGCUCAACCGUAAAAUUGCAGUUGAAACUGGCAGUCUUGAGUACAGUAGAGGUGGGCGGAAUGCGUGGUGUAGCGGUGAAAUGCUUAGAUAUCACGAAGAACUCCGAUGGCGAAGGCAGCUUACUAAACUGCAACUGACAUUGAUGCUCGAAAGUGUGGGUAUCAAACAGGAUUAGAUACCCGGGUAGUC
This 460-nucleotide ribosomal RNA is filed under the name uncultured bacterium. RNAcentral describes it as "partial 16S ribosomal RNA". It matches the Rfam family "Bacterial small subunit ribosomal RNA", at positions 338 to 795 of the family's 1533-position model. The record is from RNAcentral.